GGAAAUACGGAUAGGGACCAGGGAUUGGUUUAUUGGAAGGUGGAUUUGUAAGUAAUUAUUUUUAUAGUAUUAAUAAAUGAAGGGUGGAAUAACAUGUGUACAUAUUGCCCGUCGCUCUCGUUAUUUUUGAGAUAAGUCGUAACAUAGUUGAUGAACUGGAAAGUGUAUCUUUUUGA
RNAcentral lists this ribosomal RNA (176 nucleotides) under Brachoria mendota. RNAcentral's name for it is "partial small subunit ribosomal RNA gene". The record is from RNAcentral. Lineage: Eukaryota; Metazoa; Arthropoda; Diplopoda; Polydesmida; Xystodesmidae.